GAUGAAAAGUGACGGGAGACGGACUGAGCCCAUGCCGAGGGUUUUUCCCUGGUUUCUCAGAUAGCUCCGGGGCCAAGAUUCGGGAAGACAUCGAGACAGAGCCUUUGAUAUAAAAGAAGCGGAUCAGCCAAUCAGCGUCGCCGUGGUUCCUGGUUUUAAAGUCCUCGCCGGCCCACCGGGACUCAUUCUCCCCAGACGCCAAACUUAAGGUUCAUGGCGACCCGAACGCUCUUCCUGCUGCUCUCGGGGGUCCUGGCCCUGACCCAGAUCUGCGCAGAGACAGAAUCCACAGUCCACCCUAGGUCCCUCCUAGAAACAACUGCCCCUGCUGCUGAGCACAGACGCCACUGCUCACACCUCUGACACCCUGGUGCUGGACACUGGGCCCUGAGACUAGGACAGAUGUCACUGCUGCACCUGGAAACUGGACAUCACCACUGUCACUCAGUCAUCUUUACUAAAAUGCAUUCUGCACAGUCACAGCCUCGUCCUGGGUCGGGGUCCCGUAGGUGGUCGUCUGACUGGUGGAGCCUAAGCCUCAUGUCCAUGACCAACUGCCAGGGUGACUGGAGCACUGUUCUGUUCCAGGGAGGGAAGUGGUUUCUGUCUCCUCUCAAGACUUUAAGUGUCAUAAAGCAAAAAUAAACUUCAAAGACCCCCAACCCAACCCCAAACAUCUUCUUAAUGGACACUAUCCUCACCCGCGGCACUCAAAAUUUAACCUGAAAGACCAAUUCAGGCCAUGAUGGCAAGGGGGCACUGAACAUUCUUCAUUAUGGUCUCUUCCCUUUCAGAAUUAUUCUCUCUGAAGCCUGCCACCUGGAGGCAUCAUCGGCAUGAUAAACUUUGGUCCCCACAACCUCUUAUCAUAACCCAGACAUUCCUUUCUAUUGAUAACAGCCAAUUGCCAAUCAGAACAUUUUAAAAUCUACCUAAAACCUAGAAGCUCCUCCUCCCCAACCCUGAAUCAAGUUGUCCUGUUUUUCUGGACCAAACCAAUGUAUAUCUUAAAUGUAUUUCAUUGAUGUCUCUUAUCUUCCUAAAAUGUAUAAAGCCAACCUGUGCCCCAACCACGGUGAGCACAUGUUCUCAGUGUCUCCUGAGGACUGUGUCAUGGGCUGUGGUCACUCAUAUCUGGUUCAGAAUAAAUCUCUUCAAAUAUGUUA
Non-coding RNA from Macaca mulatta (Rhesus monkey), 1166 nucleotides. The record is from RefSeq and is a predicted model, not a curated record. Lineage: Eukaryota; Metazoa; Chordata; Mammalia; Primates; Cercopithecidae.